Molecule: RNA transcript, 945 nt
Organism: Morus notabilis
Lineage: Eukaryota; Viridiplantae; Streptophyta; Magnoliopsida; Rosales; Moraceae
Gene name: cysteine proteinase inhibitor 1
Exons: 4
Source: RefSeq, a predicted model, not a curated record
GAAUUUGGAAAUGUAAUAAAGCACAAGAAAAUCUUAAAAGCUUAGCCAGAGAGGAAGAAGAAGAAGAAAAAGAGAAGAAAAAAGCAAAAAUGGCGAAACUCGGCGGAAUCCAAGACAAGGGAAACGAGAACGAUCUCCACAUCGAAUCCCUCGCUCGUUUCGCCGUCGGCGAACACAACAAGAAAGAAAAUGCGGUUCUGCAAUUUGUGAAAGUUGUGAAAGUCAAAGAACAAGUUGUUGCCGGUACGGUCUACUACAUAACCUUGGAGGUUCUUGAUGGCGACAAGAAGAAGCUGUACGAGGCCAAGGUUUGGGAGAAGGCAUGGCUGAAUUUCAAGGAGGUUCAAGAAUUUCACCCUGUUGUUGAUGACUCUGCUCAGUCCAGCGCUAAUUGAGCUUCGUUAUCUCGAUCGAGGUGACUGCGAAUAAAAUAUAAUUCUCUAAGCUUGGUUGAGCUCUUCACAUACGAUGCAGAUCCGCAUGGUUGGUUGUUCUGGCUUGAACGAUACUUCCAGGUUAAAGGCGUUGACGACGCAGAACGGGUGGCGGCGGCCGUGAUUGGACUAGAAGGAAGGGCGUUGAACUAGUUCCAAUGGAUGGAAUCCAAAUUUGGUGUUGUGGAUUGGCCGACCUUCAAGGAAUCUAUGCUACAAAGAUUCCGAUCAUCUCAAACUGGAAAUCAUUAUGAAGCUCUGAUCGGCUUUCGACAAGAAUCAUCGGUGGCAGAAUUCCGGGAGAGGUUCGAGUAGGGGUGUUCGUCAGUUAAAAACCGUCGGUUUUGGUCGGUUCGGUGGCCGAACUGACCAUGUCGGUUUUUUGAAAGUUGGAACCGAAACCGAACCGCACCUAAUAGUUUUCGGUUCGGUUAACCGAACUUCGGUUUUGGUCGGUUUUGGUCAGUUUUCGGUUUUGGUAAUCAGGAAGAUGACCUCAGUUAACUAUCAA